GAAUCAAUUCCGUAAAUCUCGGGCACCAUGGUAUAAAUUUAUACCUAUCUGGAUGAUUUUCAUUGGUUUGGGGUAUAUUUUGAUUUACUCAAUUUAUUAUUGGUCCACCCAUUUCGAUUUAAGAAGAAAAAUCCAAAAGGGAGUACCAUUUUUGUGGAUGAAAACAAAACUAAAAGAAAGGGGGAAUGGAAAUUUUGAAUUUCAAAAUCUCCUUCAAAAAUCUCUGAUUGAACCCCUAAUUCGUCUUCUAUAUAAACACCCUUGGUGUCACAGUUUAGGGGGUCAGAAAAAUUAAAGGUUGGAGGAGGGUUAGAAACCUUAGGGUUUGAAAAUUGUUUGAAGAAAUUAGGUCGAGAAUUUUUCUUUUGGUUUCGAGAUUUUUUGUUCUAGGGUUCUGAAUUGGGGAAUUUUUUCUUUUCUUUCCCUCCUAGGUUCUCUAUGAGGAGUUCUCCUAAAAGAUGAUAAGGGAGAAAAUUUCAGGGCUCGAAGGAGGAGGGUUUGAAACUUCUAGGGUGUAAAAAUCUAAGGAGAGAUGAAUUUUUUUUGCUGUUUAGGGAUCUUCUUGAUUCUUUCUUUCUCUUUUGGAGUUGGAAAUUCUUUGGGAAAAAUUCUAAGUGGUGGUGGUUGUGAUUUUGACAAAAGUUUGAGUCCCGUUUGCUGCCACGAAACAGGGUUAGACGAACAAGACUAAGGAAAUAAUGAUGAACAAAAAAGGUGAUGAAGAGCAGUUAUUAGUAGAUACAGAGGAAUAUGAAAAUCAAAAGAAGCCCAACCUGGAGGAGCCCUAAUCCUACCUGAGAUGGAUGGUGAAGAGUUGACCAAACCAAUCAAUUCUAAUGCGGUAAAGAUAUAUCAUGCUUGAAAGAUGUUAUAGUUUUUAUUUCUUGGCUUAUUUGUAAUUACCUUUAUAAUAGUAUCAAUUUUAUGAUGUGUAAUCGCCUAGAAUCCUUUCCCUUUAUGUACGAAUUACGUUUGACCUGAAUUCCCAAGAAAAGGAUACGUAGGUGGCCUAUUCGGCUUCGGUCAACCCCUUAGGAUAACUUAUCCUUUUCUAUUAUGUAUGAACUACGUGGUGACCUGAAUUCCCAAUAAAAGUGAUACGUAGGCGGUCUAUGUCAUCUUUGAUCAACCCA
Long non-coding RNA from Capsicum annuum, 1133 nucleotides. RefSeq lists it as uncharacterized. The transcript is spliced from 2 exons. Lineage: Eukaryota; Viridiplantae; Streptophyta; Magnoliopsida; Solanales; Solanaceae. The record is from RefSeq and is a predicted model, not a curated record.